AACACCCUGGCUCCUGCCUCAUCCCGAUUCAUCCCCGCCGCCGGCACCCCCAGCCCCAAGCCCCGGCGACCCCGGGUCCAUGCCCCCGCGCCCUGGCCUCGCCCCCGACAUCCCACGCCCCGGUGACCCCCAAACCCCCGCCCCUCUCCAGCCCUCCACUUCCUCUCGCUCGCCGCCAGCGCCACCGCUGUUCCGUUCGUGGCUUCUCUCUCCGGCCAGCACGUUGAUGCUCGCGCGCGCCGCCGCCUGCUCGUAGCCACAGUUGCCCAACACGAUGCCCUGCGGCGGCGGGGGAGCGGGAGGGCUCGACGGUGGAGGCGGGGGCAGGCUGAGGCGGCUCGUCCACUCCCUCGCCAUGGCCGCGCCGGUGCCCGUUCCCGCACAACCCCGGAGGUGCCCCUGCUCCGCACCCCUCUGGACCUUCUACCCCGUCCUCCGCCGCCACCGCCGCGCCUCACACUUCCUCUCACGUCUCGCUCAUGCCUCCCUUUCUCAUUCUUGCUCUGUUCAUCGCAGGCCAAAUUUACUCUUCAAUUAACUUGACAGCUUGUCUUCUGACGAUUGUAGGGUUAACUAUUUUAUGAAUGUAUAUAACGGAGAGACAUAGCAAGCAAUAUUUGAUGAUGUGCUGAAAGGUGUCAUUCAUUUUAAUUCUGAACCCUGGCAUGUGAUAUCUGACAGUGCAAAAUAUCUGAUAACAAGAAUGCUCAAUCCUCGCCCAGCUGAACGCUUGACAGCACACAAAGUUUUAUGCACCACUGUGGCAGGGCACAUGAGCAUGACAGCAGCCGGCGAGCAGUGAACAUAGAGCGGUAUAGAGUGGCCAUCGGCUAGCCAGGCAAGGCAGAAACCGGCGAGGCUGUGAGGAUGAAUACACAAAUGGCUUCAAAGAAGAAGGCGGCAAAUGCUGAAAUACGCAACGAGAAGUUAUUUUUCCGUCCAUUCUAGUGCUCUUGGUUUACUCUUAGUGAUUUAGUUAUGCAUUGCUUUCUUCUUUAUAAAUCCGCCACACCUGAAAAUUAUUCCUACCUUGUCUGUUAUGGCAAUAUAAUUAGGAAGCAUGUAGUAGACAUCAUUUUACAUUUACAUUACUAUAUUCCUUUUGUCUGUUAUGUUGCAAAUAGGGGCACAUAACUCUACUUCUGAUAUGCAAAACUGGAUUUCUGCAAGUAAAUGCUAUAAUCAAAUUUUCAUUCUUUUUAAAGCACCUAGCAUUUGAUUUCUCGUGAGAAUUUAUGCUUAAGCACGAGCAUAUGCGUAUCUAUUUAAGUUAUUUCUUAAUCGACUAGUGUAGCAAGUCCACAUCAAUUUAUUCUACUGACUCAUAAAUUCAGCUUGGGCUUUAUGCUGCAGGCUUUGAAAACAUUUCAAAGACAAGUUAUAACAAGGUAAACGAAGAAACUUACAUGUCCCUUGUGUACCAUUAGAUUCAUUAGGCGGAUGUGGACAACAGUGGGACCAUUGACUAUAUUGAGUUCAUCGCUGCAACAUUGCAUCUGAAUAAACUGAAGCGUGAGGAGCAUCUAGUGGCAGCCUUUUCAUAUUUUUACAAAGAUGGAAGUGGUUACAUCACAGUGGAUGAGCUGCAGCAAGCUUGCCUGGAGCAUAACAUGCCAGAUGCUUUUCUUGAUGAUGUCAUUAAAGAAGCUGACCAGGACAACGUAAGUGCGGUCUUGAUUCUAUAUAUUUAUUAUUCUCGAGAUAUGGUAUAUCUUGGUUACCUAUUAAUCCAUUACUAUCUUCCUACCUGGGAUAUGCAUUUGUACAAUCAAUGCAAGUAGCAGGAUGCAAUAGAACUUGUUCAGUAGUCUAGCCAAGACAAUAAAAUAAUCCCGUGUUUGGUUGGCCCACCGCGUAUUAGGUAAAAACGGCGGGGCCCCGAAGGUGAUUAGAAAACCGGGAGCCGAACGCUCGAAACAAACAAAUCUCGUAUUCAGAGCUAGUUUGAAAACAGAGCUUCCCGAUACCCAAGUCUAAUAUGUUACCUGCACGCAAAACAAACACAUCGUUAGGUCUUAUCCACUACAUACUUACAAUUAGGACCAAAUACUUUAUGGGUGUGGGAAACAUAUUAGACCAAAUACUUGACCAAUAAAUUCUACUUGAAGUUGUGCACUCAUUUAAGAAAGGUUUACAGAUUCAUUUUAUGAAAUACUGGUGGACAUAGAUUUAUGCCCUAUAGUGCUGCUCCAAGAGGUAGUUUGCCCCAGAGAGGCUGUCUUCAUCGACCAACAGAGCUCAUUUGCCGCUUUAUUAACGAAUGCUUAUGGUUCUGUUAUUAGUAUAAAAAAUAAGUUGGUUGCAUGAACUGCUUGUCCUGAUUUUGCUCUCUUUUGGUUCAGCCUGAUGGCAGCAGUUGCAUCUUUUUUUGGUGGCUUUCUUUAGCACGUAAUAUAAUUAGGAAGCAUGUACUCCCUUUAUCAUAGUAUAUUGCGCGUAUCUCACAGGGCGUAUCUCACAGCUCAAUACACUACCACUGUUGGAGGAUGAAAUAGUUCUAAUUUAUUUAUUACUUGUACAUUAUAAUAUUUUAUUAUUUUGUAUGCUUUGUUAUGUUUGAUUAUUUGAAUUACCACGAUGAUCUGAAGAACCCAGAAGAAGUAGAGGAUAGGUCAGGAGGAGGGAACAAGAAGCUUCGUUUAUUAUUGAUGUUAUGUGUGAUUAAUAAAAACUUGUGCUUCUCAUCUAAUUUGUUGUGCACUUGUAGAACUAUUUUGGUGUGCACUUGUUGGGCCUGAAAUCUUUAUGUGUAGAGGAGUCGAUGGAUGAUGUAUUGUAAUUCAUGUGAUGUGCUACUGAAAUGAAAUAUAUAUAUAACUAAUUUGCAA
Molecule: long non-coding RNA, 2828 nt
Organism: Hordeum vulgare subsp. vulgare (domesticated barley)
Lineage: Eukaryota; Viridiplantae; Streptophyta; Magnoliopsida; Poales; Poaceae
Exons: 2
Source: RefSeq, a predicted model, not a curated record